Molecule: ribosomal RNA, 253 nt
Filed under: uncultured bacterium
Lineage: Bacteria
Description: partial 16S ribosomal RNA
Rfam family: Bacterial small subunit ribosomal RNA
Source: RNAcentral
AACGUAGGUGGCGAGCGUUAUUCGGAAUUAUUGGGCGUAAAGGGCGCGUAGGCGGCCAUGCGUGUCUUCCGUGAAAUCCCUCGGCUUAACUGAGGACGUGCGGAAGAAACUGCAAGGCUCGAGUCCGGGAGAGGGGGGUGGAAUUCCCAGUGUAGCGGUGAAAUGCGUAGAUAUCGGGAGGAACACCUGUGGCGAAAGCGGCGCACUGGACCACAUCUGACGCUGAGGCGCGAAGGCUAGGGGAGCAAACAGG